UCUAACGAUUUUAGGGCUAGGC
RNAcentral lists this non-coding RNA (22 nucleotides) under Arabidopsis thaliana (thale cress). The record is from RNAcentral. Lineage: Eukaryota; Viridiplantae; Streptophyta; Magnoliopsida; Brassicales; Brassicaceae.